RNA transcript from Amphiprion ocellaris (clown anemonefish), 14828 nucleotides. It is a transcript of the gene named DNA-directed RNA polymerase III subunit RPC1-like, with no coding region annotated. The transcript is spliced from 8 exons. Lineage: Eukaryota; Metazoa; Chordata; Actinopteri; Pomacentridae. The record is from RefSeq and is a predicted model, not a curated record.
CAAAAAGAUUUUCCUAUACUUUUAUGUCAUUACCACUAAAACUGUCUUUCAUAUUAAAACUUUCCACAAUCUAACCAUUUAACAUCAUUACCUAAUUUCAAACACUAAACUAAUUUUGUUCUUUUCUACAAACAACUAAUCUGCACUACAAUUAAUACCACUAUUUAAUUGACAAACAAGGCCUCUUCCCAUCACACUCAAAAGUGUUCCUACAAGAAUCACAUACAAUGUUCCACAUCUAAUCCUGCUUUUGAAACAUAAACUUGAUCAAAAAUUAUUUUACUUAUGGGGUGCCUGAAACUCCUACAACAAACACAAACAAACCAAAAAAAAAAAAAGAAACUCCUACAACAACCAUUUGAGAACUAGCAAUGCAAACAUUAUCAGUGAAACAUAGAGCAGAAAAUAUACCUCCUUUAUCAAUUAAUAUCUCCAAUUUAAUUACAUAAUAAUGCACAGCAUUUCACAGACAAUCUUCUUCUCUGUUCGCAGUUGCCUGCUAAUCUUGAUUUGGAAGUAGAGGCUCGAGGAAAUGGACAAGGAAUACUAGAGUACAGGGAAAGACGACCACGGGUUGUGACCUAUUACAAUCAGCUGCAUGAGGUGGAAGAGAAAAUGCCCUGCAAGCACUUUGAUCUCAACGUCACUUUUGAAGGAUCCAGCGGUAGAUCAAAUUCUCACACUAUAUCACAUAUUUUACACGACGUCCUUCAGACGGGUGACAAAUUAAAGCAAAUGCACUUUAACAAAAAAAAAAAAAAACAAAGCAUUUUGACUGCUGACCUGAGUAAAUUUAGUAAAUUGAAUUUAUAAAACACUCGCGUACAAUCUCUUAAAAUACAUACGUUUUGCAUACAUCACAAUGCAAGGACUGUGUGUGCUCAUCUUCAGGGACUUUUUGUUCGUAUUAUUUUUGUUAAGAUCAAAUGAAUACAUGAUUGUUAAGAUCAAAAUAACACGUUGGAGCAUAAUUACAUCAAAUACACUAUUACAUACGCUCUAGCCCACCAUAUAAUAUAUACAGCUGUACAUUAAUUAAUGCUUUGCUGCUGUCCCGGACCAGAAAAGCCUCCAGCAGAUGUAGAAAAGUCAGACAAGAUCAAGUAGUUGUUGUUGUUGUUAUACGUGUACACGACUGUGCAAAAUGUUAGAUCGGCAGCAAUAUCGACUACCUUAUUACAAAUUGCAGGGCACAGUUUCACAGCUUUGGGUAGUUCAAAAUAUCUUGUGCCAGUUCCUCUGUGGACUGACACUCUGUACAUUAUCUGAUAGGUACUUUAUUCAUUCCCUUAGGGAGAUUCAAGGUAUGCAUGAGCUCACGUGUUACAUAGAAGAUAGAGGGCCACUGUGCGAAUGAGCAUGCAACAGACAUCCCAAAUCUGCCUAAAAUGCUGGUAUUUACAGAGGUGAGCUUAAAAAACUGUUAAUAUUUACAAUAAAGUGCAAAUCGGUGUUAUUUGCAAUAAAAAUAGAGCAUGAUAAGAGUUCAUAAUACAAUAAAUAUAGCAUUUGAAGUACAAACGAUGUCAGAGCUCUGUGGAAGAACAUCUGUUGGUCUGCAGAUGCAGGUACAUCUGUUAGUCUGCUGCUGCAGGUAGUUCUUCAUGGAUUCUUGGUGUGCCUCAGUAAAGACUGAUUCCUCUGGUUUUUCUUUCAGACUCAUUUUAAAAUGCUGCUGCUCACAUGCUCAAAGACUUUAAUCUGAUCAGUGACUGAUUGUACGUUAUGCCUUUACAUGAACAAUGUGACAGCAGCUGAUUAUAGUCGUAUAGUCAUCGUGCCCUUUGUCAGUGCUGUUCUUUUUCUCAUUCACAGCAGGGCUCUAGGACCCGGAGACGUCAGGAUGGUGGUUCUUGAUAUCAGUCUACCAACUGGAUUCACCCCAGAAAACUCUGACCUGGAGAUGGUAAUCACCUUCUAGUGCUAGUGCAGAAAAAUCUGAAAGCUUGUGUCAAUGGUGUAUUUAAGUGUCUUUAAAAUGAAUGUAGUAUUUUAAAUAAAAGUUUGUAAAAAGUUUACUACAUCAUGAUAAUGACCUUCUAAUGGAUGAGACAUGAAUGAUCGCAUGUUUAGGACGGCGGCGUUGCUAACUAGCUAACAGCUGACUCUGUUUAUGUGUGUGUCCAGCUGUCCAAUUCAGUGCAUCGUUACAUCAGUAACUUCCAGAUUGUAGACAACCUGAGUGACAGAGGCUCCCUGAUCAUUCACCUGUUCAAAGUAACAUCACUGUAUUUAUAAUUAUUAUUCUAUGUCAUAUCAUUUUAUGUUAUUCAUAUGCUUUUCUUUUUUUCCAAGAAGCAGGUUUCUCAAUGCUCAGUAAAUAAGUCUUUAUGACCACAGUCAACAAUCUGAGGCAGUUUUAGGCUAUUACACAAAACCGGCUUAUUGGUACCAAAGCCACGGUUCAGAACUCAGACUUGCUAAAUCGGUGUUGGUGUAGUGCAGUGUAGGGCUGCAGCCAGAGUACUGACGAUAGUUAGCAAGAGAGAUCAUAUUUCUCCUAUGCUGGUUUCUCUUCAUUGGCUUCCUGUGAAAUGUAGAAUAGAAUUCAAAAUCCUUCUUCUGACAUAUAAAGCUCUUAACAACCAAUCUCCAUCAUAUCUUAAAGACCUGAUAGUACCAUAUUAUCCUAGCAGAACUCUUCGCUCUCAGACUGCAGGCUUACUCGGAGAAGCGACCUGUAACUUCUCUCUAAAAGUAGAAUGGGAGGCGGAGCCUUCAGUUAUCAGCUCCUCUCCUGUGGAACCAGCUCCCAGUUUGGGUUCCGGAGGCGGACACCCUCUCUAAUUUUAAGACCAGGCUUAAAACCUUCCUUUUUGACAAAUCUUAUAGUUAGGACUGACUGGGGGACCCUGAGGGGGUCAGCUGGAGUCUUCCUCUUGGACGUCCCUUAGUUCUGCCCCUAGUUCUGCUGCUACAGGCCUAGGCUGCUGGAGGACCUCUCUGGAUGCACUGAGCCCUUCUCUAUCUACCAUUAUAUUUAAUAUACAGUAUAUAUACCAUUAUUGCAUUACACUCACUCUGUUUCUCCCUGUGUCCUUUCUCCGAGUGUCCCUGAUCCCAGAGCUGGAUGCUUCAGAUCUGUGGUGGUUCUCCCACCAACUGGCCUAAUCUCCAUCUGUGGGAUGCUGCUGCUGCUGACCUUCCUCCAGCCCACUGCUUCCAGCUGCCCAUUUCCAUCAAUCUACUCUGCAUCACCCUCACUAUACUUGAUUUGCUCGUCUACAUAUUUUUGAAUUUACCACCAGCUAUAUAUGUAGUAUAUUUAAUGCCAGAGCCAUACACCGUAGCAGUAAACUAUAAUCAGUUUCCAGCCCAGAGGGAUAUAUGCGCAGAUUUUUUUAAAUACCAUGUAGAAGACUAUAUACAGGAAGAUGAGGUAUCAGUUCUUGCACAUAGAUAUACAACAGUCCUUUAUUACUCCCCAGGUUAGGGGAAAUUUCCAGUGUUAGAGCAGCAAAAAUCUUUCAGAGCAGCACUAACUACAGUUUGCUACAGUAAAGAUAAUAAUUAUAAUAACAAUAAUAUAUACAAGAAUGAAAAAUGAAUAAAUACAGUAUUACUACACUAUAAGUGACAUCAGCAUAAAGUGGCUUGUGGAAUACAUGUAAUUGUAAAAGUGCAGAAAAUGCCAGCCGUGCAAGGAGUUGUGGAGAUUUUCUCAAAACAGGUGAGUCCUGUGAAUAUGACCAAAAUAUGAGAUAAAACUACCAGAAACAUGUACAAAAUGGCCAAAAUAUGAUUGGUUGAUAAUGUAUCAGUGUUGUUAUUGAUUAUUGAUCGGUUGCAGGGACAGAGAUUUGUGUCUGAGUCUCUGCUGUCAUCUAAUCGCUCUCAUGUAAGAUCGUGCCACAGGAGGGGCCGCUACUGACCUCUUGUGGACACAGGCGGUAACGACACGACAUUAUUACUAACGGUAUAGCUGGCGACAUUACAGGUGAGCAGCACUUCCUGUUCAUCUUCAACGUAAAAGCAUCUUUCUUUAUUGUACAUUUUAUGUCAAACGUAUUAUUAAGCGAUUUAGGUCGAUUCAGAAGGAUCUCUGGUGUAAACCAAGUCGUAUUUGACGACAGCUAGCCUCUCCACUUGCUCCGAUUACUUUUGUUGUAGUCCGAGUCACGUCCAAACAGGAAACGAAUCCACAAUGUAGCUAAUGACAAUCUAUAGCUGCAUCUCCGUGAUGGCAGCGUUAGCGAGCUAGCAGCUAAUCAGAAGCUAGUGACAAGCUAACUCCAGCGCUACCAGCAGCGUCUCUUUAAAAGGUGCUGAUCACGAUAUCAGGCUGAAACAUUAGACCUGGGACAGGAAACGGAGCUAGAGCUCUGUGUCUUGGAGAGAAUUGAUUUUAGAGCUACGUGUGUUAAGGUAUUAGUCCGUGUCAUAACAAACCCUCGUUAGCAAUUCCGCUAGCUCGGCUAACACUUCCGGUCACGAAUGCAUCUGUACAUUACCUAUAACGUGUUCAUUUUUGAACGUAUAGUGACAACAAACACAAUUUGAGGGAGUCGACAAGCUAGUGGUCCUUAAAUACAUUUUGGUUCAUACUGCAGAUUCUUCUGAGUCUCACAAAACCACGUUUUAGCCUAAGAGCAUUACGAUAGUUUUACGUUGAAACAGGAAGUGCUGCUCAUCUGUACUGUCGCCAGCUUUGCCUCAAAUAAUAAUUAGUGUCGUUACCGCCUGUGUCCGCCAGAGGGGCAGUAGCGCCCCCUGCUCUGAUAAGGAUAAGGAUAAACUUUAUUGAUCCCACAGUGGGUAAAGUUCACCGAGCUGCUUCACUGAGGAGAGUCUUUUAGUUUUCAGAUAAUAUGAUGGCGAAGAAAAUGUGUUACUGCAGUAAAGAUUCCACUGAAUUAUUAUUUGAUCCAUGAUCGAGAGCACUCAGUUCUUCUCCAGUUUGUUGCUGCGGUCCGGUGAACAGGUGAGCUCCAGGUGAACAGGUGAUGUCAGCAGCAGGUCAGUCUGUGAUUGGAGCAGUAAAACUCAUCUACAUGAAAUUAAAUGUUAUGCUAAUGUAGAUGCACUCAUGUGACAUAAACUGUGAAGUCCACUCUAAACUGUAUUAAGGCUUAGAGCCAGGAUUUUUAACUUUUGUAUCUCUGUGUUCCCCCCCGCUGACCUGAGCAGGUGGUACGUUCCACUCAGACACACCUGACGGGGUCAGACCACCAACACACAAGCCCCACCGCUGCAGUUUAUUUAACCUUCAAGUAGUUUUAUCGAUCUUUUCAUGGUUUCUUCAUCUUUGAAUGAAUAUUUUUGGCACUAAAUGUGAACUUUUUGAACGGACUCUGCUCGUCAGAUGGAGGAACGUCAGGGAGUUUGUUGGAAGAUUCAGGUGAGAGGAAACAGAAGUAGGAUGUUAGACAGGACUGAUCUGCUGUCCUAUCCUAUACAUUGUAGUGUUAACAAAAUCAUUGGAGCCUUCAAUUGUCUCCUGCUGGUCAUACUACAACUCUUGGUUUGACACUAAAUGCAAAAUCUGAAUUUUAAGAAAUUUUUAUUAUUUUAUUAUUAUUAGUCAUAAAAUUCAAUAACUUCACUCUUACACACUGUAGUGUCAUCAAAUUCGCUGGAGCCAUCAGUUGGCUCCUGAUUAUCAUACUACAACUCUUGGUUUGACAUUAAGUAAAAAAUCUGAAUUUUAAGGAAUUUUUGUAGUAAAUAAAAUUCACUUACUUUACUCUUAAACACUGCAGAAAAAAUAAACGCCAUCCAACCAUCAAAAGGGUCCUACUGAUCAUACCUUCAGGUUUUUUCUUCCAAGUAUUGUCCGUGCAGUCCUUAACUUGGAAAAUAUUAUUAGCUGUUUAACAUUAGGGUUUAAAUGAAUCAGUUAAGGCUGCAGCCUCGUAAGAAAGCGUCUGACUGUCUUUCUUCCCAGUCGUCAGUACUUGAGGAGACAGUCUAAACAGUUUAGUUUGGUAUAUUGAUGUUAUCUGAUCCUCUCUUUGAUGAGGAGUCCAAGUUCCAUUACUAUUCAGUAUCAUGUAUUUGGACAAACAGGUGCACUGUGGAUCUAAAAAUAUAGCCCCACACACAUCAAGAGAAGAGCCGUCAAAGCUAAUUUACUCAUAAUCCUUAAACUUCACACACAAGCAUGCACACUAAAUAGUGUGCACAUCUUCACAUGGCAAUAAACAACCCAAAUCAUUAAAAUUCAGUUACUUUUGGUUGUUAAUGUUACACAAUCUACCAAAAAAAAAAAAAAAAAAUGGAUGACCACUUUUAACUGUUACAACAAAAAAUAUUUGAGAUAUAUAACAACAAUUUCAUUACCGAUAAAAAAAAAAAAAUCCUUAAAAUCAUGAAAAAUAGUUAAAUAUCAAACCAAGAGUUGUAGUAUGAUCAACAGGAGCCAACUGAGUUAGACAGAGUGUAAUCUUUUUGCAGUACAUAAGAGGGAAGUUAUUGAAUUUUAUUACUAAUAAAAUAAUAAGAAAAUAAGAAAAAAAUUCCUUAAAAUUCAGAUUUUUUAAUUUAAUAUCAAACCAAGAGUUGUAGUAUGACCAGCAGGAGUCAACUGAUGGCUCCAGUGAUUUUGGUAACACUACAAUGUAUAAGAGUGAAGUUAUUGAAUUUUAUUACCAAUAACAAUUCCUUAAAAUUCAGAUUUUCUAUUUAAUAUCAAACCAAGGGUUGUACUGUGACAGUCAGGAGACAACUGAUGGCAGCAGCGAGUUUGGUGACACUACAGUACAUAAGAGUGAAGUUAAUGAAUUUUAUUACCAAUAAAAAUUAUUUAAAAUUCAAAUUUUGUACUUAAUAUCAAACCAAGUGUUGUAGUAUGACCAGCAGAAGCCAAUUGAAGGCUCCAGUGAUUUUGGUGACACUAAAGUAAACAAGAGUGAAGUUAUUGAAUUUAUUAAAACAAUACUAAAAUAAUGAAAAUUUCUUAAAAUUCAGAUUUUGUAUUUAGUGUCAAACCAAGAGUUGUAGUAUGAGCAGCAGGAGACAAUUGAAGGCUCAAAUGAUUUUGGUGACGCUACAGUAAACAAGGGGGAAGUUAUUGUAUUUUAUUACUAAUAAAAUGAUAAAAAAUUCCUUAAAAUUCAGAUUUUUUUUUUAUUUAGUGUCAAACCAAGAGUUGUAGUAUGACCAGCAGGAGACAAUUGAUGGCUGCAGUAAAUUUGGUGACACUACAGUGUAUGAAAGUUAAGUAAUUGAAUAUUUGUCUCUCUUCGCUGUUGCAGCGGUUUUGCUAUUUGCAGACGGUCCCUGUUCACUCGUUGCACAGCCGGCUGCUCAUAGACAUCAGUGCUAUUUCUGCAACUUGAAAGACAGCGACUUUUGAUAAAACUGGCCUCGUAGCACAUUGUCAAGCUUACAGCGAUUUGAAAGAGGCAUUGUUUAUGUUUUUACAACGUAUAUCUCAUGAGUUAUUGAUGCCGGAAGUCCGAAUCUGUGAAUAUCUUGCCAACUUUACCUAACUCCCAUUCAUGCAUGAAUUAUGAUAACCUCAGUUAGGAUUUUUUUUUUCCCCCAAUUGUUUUUAUUCAUCUUUAGGCGUGAAAAACAAGGUUUGAACUUUAUUUUAUUUCAACCCAUUUUUCUAAAAAAUAUAUUUACAUGUCCACUGAGAUGGCCACCAUGCAUUUUGCUCUAGAAAUAUGGAUUUAACAAACAAAUGGAUAAAAUGAUAUACAGUGUAUUGAACUGUGAAAUGUGAUGUGAACUAUAAAAUAAAAUAAUUGAUGCAUAAAUAAUUCAAACAGCAUUGAGGGAUUCACUCUCCUGUAUAGAUUCCCAAGUCUCUCAGAUGACAUAUUUUCAAGAACAGCAGCAGUAAUAGCCUAAUUGUGGUCAAUGAAGUGUAGCUGAAAUAUAGCUGGUGAUGCAUGAUGUGCACUUUAGUGGACAUGAGAUUAAUCAUAAUUGCCUCCCAAUAUAACAUCAAUACUCGGAAAAUUUUGCAAUUGCAUGACUCCUUAGAUGUUCCUCGAUGUCACCAUAUUUUUCUUUCCUGCAAAGGUCUCUUUUUUAUAGAAGGUUUGAACAAAAGAAAAUGAGCUACUUGGUGUUUCUGGCUGCCUGUCGGCCAUCUUGGUUUGACUCUUUUUCUUUUUUCUUUCUUUUUUUUCUUUCUUUUUUUUUUUUUUUUUUAAAGAAUUUGCAAUGGCUAGCCAAUCACUGGCAGUGGAAGAAAUGAUGCAAUAGGAUCCGCUGUAGUGGCUGAUGUCCAACUAUGCCAUCAAAACUUAUGCACAUACAAGAAAACAGCUUUAGAAGAGCUGCACACUGUCAUGACCUCUAUGCAUGGAAGGGUUAAAGGCAUCAAUAAUGAACACAACACAAAUAAAUUGCUAUCAUAUUACAAUUCUGCAUAAUACACAGUGGAGAAUCACAGUGAUAUUGUAAUAAUUGAAGGUAUUUUUAAUUGUUACUGUAUUUUUGCUAUAUUUUUACUAUAUUGUACUGUAUUUUUCCUAUAUUUUUUACUGUAUUUUUACGAUAUUUUUACUGAAUUUGUACUAUAUUUUUUUACUGUGUCUUUACUAUAUUUUUACUUUAUUUUUAUGAGAUUUUUUGCUAUAUUUUUUACUAUAUUUUUGGUGUGUUUUUACUAUAUAUUUUACAGUAGUUUACUGUAUUUUUUUAGUAUAUUUUUACUGUAUUUUUUACCGUAUCUUUACUGUAUUUUAUGAGUCUGCUGUCAUCUAAUCUCUCAUGUAAGAUCAUGUCACAGGAGGGGGCGCUACUGGCCUCUUGUGGACACAGGCGGUAACGACACGACAUUAUUAUAAACGGUAUAGCUGGCGACAUUACAGAUGAGCAGCACUUCCUGUUUAUCUUCAACGUAAAAGCAUCUUUCUUUAUUGUACAUUUUAUGUCAAAAGUAUUACUAAGCGAUUUUGGUCGAUUCAGAAGGAUCUCUGGUGUAAACCAAGUCGUAUUUGACGACAGCUAGCUUCUCCACUUGCUCCAAUUACUUUUGUUGUAGUCCGAGUCACGUCCAAACAGGAAAUGAAUCCACAACGUAGCUAAUGACAAUCUAUAGCUGCCUCUCCGUGAUGGCAGCGUUAGCGAGCUAGCAGCUAAUCAGAAGCUAGUGACAAGCUAACUCCAGCGCUACAAGCAGCGUCUCUUUAAAAGGUGCUGAUCACGCUAUCAGGCUGAAACGUGAGACCUGGGACAGGAAAAGGAGCUAGAGCGCUGUGUCUUGCAGAGGAUUUAUUUUAGAACUACGCAUGUUAAGGUAGGAGUCCGUGUCAUAGCAAACCCUCGUUUGCACUUCCGCUAGCUCGGCUAACACUUCCGGUCACGAAUGCAUUUGUACAUUAGCUAUAACGUGUUCAUUUUUGAACGUAUAGUGACAACAAACACAAUUUGAGACUGUCGACAAACUAGUGGUCCUUAAAUAGAUUUUGUUUCAUACUGCAGAUUCUUCUGAGUCUCACAAAACCACGUUUUAGCAUAAUAGCAUUACGAUAGUUUUACGUUGAAACAGGAAGUGUUGCUCCUCUGUAAUGUCGCCAGCUUUGCCUCAAAUAAUAAUAGUGUCGUUACCGGCUGUGUCCGCCAGAGGGCAGUAAUGUGUACAGUAAAGGGUUAGUGACUUUAGGGGUCAUUUUGAAUGUUUUUAUGGCUAUUUUUGCUUCAGUUUGUUCAUGUUUUGUCUCAUAUUGUUACUUUAGUGACUUUAGGGGUCAAUUUGCAUGUUUUUAUGAAUAUUUUUGAUUCAGUUUGUUCAUUUUUUGUCUCAUAUUAUUACUUUAGUGACUUUAGGGGUAAUUUUGCAUGUUUUUAUGGCUAUUUUUGAUUCAAUUUGUUCAUUUUUGGUCUCACAUUGUUACUUUAGUUACUUUAGGGGUCAUCUUGCAUGUUUUAAUGGCUAUUUUAUUAUUCAGUUUGUUCAUUUUUUGUCUCAUAUUAUUAUCAUAGCAGAGGCUCAUGGGUAACGUGGUUCUGAGGCAGCCAGGAGCAGAGGCUCAUGGGUAACAUGUCUCUGAGCCAGCCAGGAGCAGAGGCUCAUGGGUAACGUGGUCCUCUGUUUCCAGUCUUUAUGCUAAGCUAGGCUAACAGUUCUAACCUCUUUCCAGUCUUUAUGCUAAGCUAGGAUAGCUGUUUUCCUCUGUUUCCAGUCUUUAUGCUAAGCUAGGCUAACAGUUCUAACCUGUUUUGUCUUUCUGCUAACCUAGGCUAACAGUUCAAACCUGUUGUGUCUUUCUGCUAACCUAGGCUAACAGUUCCCACCUGUUGCCAGCCUUUGUGCGAAGGUAAGCUAACAGUUCCCACCUAUUUCCAGUCUUUGCUAAACUAGGCUAACAGUUCUAACCUGUUUCCAGCCUUUGUGCAAAGCUAAGCUAACAGUUCCCACCUGUUUCCAGUCUUUGCUAAACUAGGCUAACAGUUCUAACCUGUUUCCAGUCUUUGUGCUAAGCUAAGCUACCUUGGAGACUAUUUGUCUGUGAGUAAAACGUGUACAUAAGCACAAAUAGAAAUUUCAUGUUAGAAGUUUGUUAUAAUUUGUCAAGUAGUUGAAAUAUGUCAUACAGUGUUGUUAGAAAGCCCUCAUAUUUUGAUCAUGAUGUUGUAUGGGUUGCGUUAUAGUUGUAUUUCCUCCCUUGUUGAGCUAAUCGGAUGUUUGUGUUUUUUUACGUAAUGUCCUUGAACGCACCUCGUGUGUGACGUAGCUUUUCUCCAUGUUGCAGCACAGUUGUUAGCUAGUUCUCUCCUGUGCACAUGUCUGAACUGGAUGCAUGUUGCAUUUUUUUCUUCCUUAACCUGCUGUGUGUAAAUGAUGAAGGUGAGUGGUCAUGUGUUCCACCAGUAGAGCAUGAUUAUGCACUGUUUAGUGUUACUUGUUGAUCGUUUAGCGACACUUUACAGGACGGACGUUAGCUUAGCAAUUAGCCCACCAUGUUGUCUGUCCGAGCGGGUUUGGCUACAUUGCUACCGUCAUGUGAUUGAAAUGCUGAGCCAUGCAUAAUAUUUUGCCCUUCGUUAUUGUGUUUAUGUGCAUUUGUGUUACUGUUUCAUAGUAUAAUUAUUAUUGUGGUUACAUUUAUGCUGAAUGUCUUACUGAUUCAGUAUUCCUGUUUGUGAUGUUUCAGAACCACAGCUAGCCACAGUUAUCCACAAGUAGCCACAGUUGUCUACCAGUGCAGCACAGAGUUAUCUGCAACAACAAUAAACAUCAUUAACCUGGAAAGUCUGGCUGCCGUGUUCACUCAACUCAACUCAACUCAACUCAGACCGACAAAUUCUUCAAUGGAAACUCUAUGUUGCCUGCUAAUCUUGAUUUGGAAGUAGAGGCUCAAGGAAAUGGAUAAGGAAUACUAGAGUACAGGGAAAGACGACCACGGGUUGUGACCUAUUACAAUCAGCUGCAUGAGGUGGAAGAGAAAAUGCCCUGCAAGCACUUUGAUCUCAACGUCACUUUUGAAGGAUCCAGCGGUAGAUCAAAUUCUCACACUAUAUCACAUAUUUUACACGACGUCCUUCAGACGGGUGACAAAUUAAAGCAAAUGCACUUUAACAAAAAAAAAAAAAAACAAAGCAUUUUGACUGCUGACCUGAGUAAAUUUAGUAAAUUGAAUUUAUAAAACACUCGCGUACAAUCUCUUAAAAUACAUACGUUUUGCAUACAUCACAAUGCAAGGACUGUGUGUGCUCAUCUUCAGGGACUUUUUGUUCGUAUUAUUUUUGUUAAGAUCAAAUGAAUACAUGAUUGUUAAGAUCAAAAUAACACGUUGGAGCAUAAUUACAUCAAAUACACUAUUACAUACGCUCUAGCCCACCAUAUAAUAUAUACAGCUGUACAUUAAUUAAUGCUUUGCUGCUGUCCCGGACCAGAAAAGCCUCCAGCAGAUGUAGAAAAGUCAGACAAGAUCAAGUAGUUGUUGUUGUUGUUAUACGUGUACACGACUGUGCAAAAUGUUAGAUCGGCAGCAAUAUCGACUACCUUAUUACAAAUUGCAGGGCACAGUUUCACAGCUUUGGGUAGUUCAAAAUAUCUUGUGCCAGUUCCUCUGUGGACUGACACUCUGUACAUUAUCUGAUAGGUACUUUAUUCAUUCCCUUAGGGAGAUUCAAGGUAUGCAUGAGCUCACGUGUUACAUAGAAGAUAGAGGGCCACUGUGCGAAUGAGCAUGCAACAGACAUCCCAAAUCUGCCUAAAAUGCUGGUAUUUACAGAGCAGGGCUCUAGGACCCGGAGACGUCAGGAUGGUGGUUCUUGAUAUCAGUCUACCAACUGGAUUCACCCCAGAAAACUCUGACCUGGAGAUGGUAAUCACCUUCUAGUGCUAGUGCAGAAAAAUCUGAAAGCUUGUGUCAAUGGUGUAUUUAAGUGUCUUUAAAAUGAAUGUAGUAUUUUAAAUAAAAGUUUGUAAAAAGUUUACUACAUCAUGAUAAUGACCUUCUAAUGGAUGAGACAUGAAUGAUCGCAUGUUUAGGGCGGCGGCGUUGCUAACUAGCUAACAGCUGACUCUGUUUAUGUGUGUGUCCAGCUGUCCAAUUCAGUGCAUCGUUACAUCAGUAACUUCCAGAUUGUAGACAACCUGAGUGACAGAGGCUCCCUGAUCAUUCACCUGUUCAAAUGUCCCUGAUCCCAGAGCUGGAUGCUUCAGAUCUGUGGUGGUUCUCCCACCAACUGGCCUAAUCUCCAUCUGUGGGAUGCUGCUGCUGCUGACCUUCCUCCAGCCCACUGCUUCCAGCUGCCCAUUUCCAUCAAUCUACUCUGCAUCACCCUCACUAUACUUGAUUUGCUCGUCUACAUAUUUUUGAAUUUACCACCAGCUAUAUAUGUAGUAUAUUUAAUGCCAGAGCCAUACACCGUAGCAGUAAACUAUAAUCAGUUUCCAGCCCAGAGGGAUAUAUGCGCAGAUUUUUUUAAAUACCAUGUAGAAGACUAUAUACAGGAAGAUGAGGUAUCAGUUCUUGCACAUAGAUAUACAACAGUCCUUUAUUACUCCCCAGGUUAGGGGAAAUUUCCAGUGUUAGAGCAGCAAAAAUCUUUCAGAGCAGCACUAACUACAGUUUGCUACAGUAAAGAUAAUAAUUAUAAUAACAAUAAUAUAUACAAGAAUGAAAAAUGAAUAAAUACAGUAUUACUACACUAUAAGUGACAUCAGCAUAAAGUGGCUUGUGGAAUACAUGUAAUUGUAAAAGUGCAGAAAAUGCCAGCCGUGCAAGGAGUUGUGGAGAUUUUCUCAAAACAGGUGAGUCCUGUGAAUAUGACCAAAAUAUGAGAUAAAACUACCAGAAACAUGUACAAAAUGGCCAAAAUAUGAUUGGUUGAUAAUGUAUCAGUGUUGUUAUUGAUUAUUGAUCGGUUGCAGGGACAGAGAUUUGUGUCUGAGUCUCUGCUGUCAUCUAAUCGCUCUCAUGUAAGAUCGUGCCACAGGAGGGGCCGCUACUGACCUCUUGUGGACACAGGCGGUAACGACACGACAUUAUUACUAACGGUAUAGCUGGCGACAUUACAGGUGAGCAGCACUUCCUGUUCAUCUUCAACGUAAAAGCAUCUUUCUUUAUUGUACAUUUUAUGUCAAACGUAUUAUUAAGCGAUUUAGGUCGAUUCAGAAGGAUCUCUGGUGUAAACCAAGUCGUAUUUGACGACAGCUAGCCUCUCCACUUGCUCCGAUUACUUUUGUUGUAGUCCGAGUCACGUCCAAACAGGAAACGAAUCCACAAUGUAGCUAAUGACAAUCUAUAGCUGCAUCUCCGUGAUGGCAGCGUUAGCGAGCUAGCAGCUAAUCAGAAGCUAGUGACAAGCUAACUCCAGCGCUACCAGCAGCGUCUCUUUAAAAGGUGCUGAUCACGAUAUCAGGCUGAAACAUUAGACCUGGGACAGGAAACGGAGCUAGAGCUCUGUGUCUUGGAGAGAAUUGAUUUUAGAGCUACGUGUGUUAAGGUAUUAGUCCGUGUCAUAACAAACCCUCGUUAGCAAUUCCGCUAGCUCGGCUAACACUUCCGGUCACGAAUGCAUCUGUACAUUACCUAUAACGUGUUCAUUUUUGAACGUAUAGUGACAACAAACACAAUUUGAGGGAGUCGACAAGCUAGUGGUCCAUAAAUACAUUUUGGUUCAUACUGCAGAUUCUUCUGAGUCUCACAAAACCACGUUUUAGCCUAAGAGCAUUACGAUAGUUUUACGUUGAAACAGGAAGUGCUGCUCAUCUGUACUGUCGCCAGCUUUGCCUCAAAUAAUAAUUAGUGUCGUUACCGCCUGUGUCCGCCAGAGGGGCAGUAGCGCCCCCUGCUCUGAUAAGGAUAAGGAUAAACUUUAUUGAUCCCACAGUGGGUAAAGUUCACCGAGCUGCUUCACUGAGGAGAGUCUUUUAGUUUUCAGAUAAUAUGAUGGCGAAGAAAAUGUGUUACUGCAGUAAAGAUUCCACUGAAUUAUUAUUUGAUCCAUGAUCGAGAGCACUCAGUUCUUCUCCAGUUUGUUGCUGCGGUCCGGUGAACAGGUGAGCUCCAGGUGAACAGGUGAUGUCAGCAGCAGGUUGAGAGGACUUUGGGUAUUGAGGCUGCAAGAUCCACCAUCAUCAAUGAGGUUCAGUACACCAUGGUCAACCACGGAAUGAGCAUCGACCGGCGUCACGUCAUGCUUCUUGCUGAUCUUAUGUCCUAUAAGGACCAGACCUGCUGGGAUCUGUACAGAUGUCUUGAUGAGGGUGGGAGUGGUUUCAGUAAAGGAGAGCUGGAUCAGUCUACAAACACAUUGUUGUAACCAGUGUGGGAAAUCUUUCAGGCAGUCAAGUUAUUUGAAACGUCAUAUGCUCAUCCACACGGAAGAAAUUAGUUUUUCACUGUGAUAUUUCCUCAUGUUUGACAAAGUGGUUAUUAUCUUAACUGUGAAAUAAAAGCCCUCCUUAAACGUUA